GACGAACGCUGGCGGCGUGCCUAAUACAUGCAAGUAGAACGCACAGUUUAUACCGUAGCUUGCUACACCAUAAACUGUGAGUUGCGAACGGGUGAGUAACGCGUAGGUAACCUGCCUGGUAGCGGGGGGUAACUAUUGGAAACGAUAGCUAAUACCGCAUAAUAUUAAUUAUUGCAUGAUAAUUGAUUGAAAGAUGCAAUUGCCUCACUACUAGAUGGACCUGCGUUGUAUUAGCUAGUAGGUGAGGUAACGGCUCACCUAGGCGACGAUACAUAGCCGACCGGAGAGGGUGAUCAGCCGGACUGGGACUGAGACACGGCCCAGACUCCUACGGGAGGCAGCAGUAGGGAAUCGUCGGCAAUGGGCGAAAGUCUGACCGAGCAAGGCCGCGUGAGUGAGGAGGGAUUUCGGAUCGGAAAGGUCUGUUGUAAGGGAAGAACGGGUGUGAGAGUGGAAAGUUCACACUGUGACGGUAUCUUACCAGAAAGGGACGGCUAACUACGUG
Molecule: ribosomal RNA, 505 nt
Filed under: uncultured bacterium
Lineage: Bacteria
Description: partial 16S ribosomal RNA
Rfam family: Bacterial small subunit ribosomal RNA
Source: RNAcentral